AGAGUUUGAUCCUGGCUCAGGAUGAACGCUAGCGACAGGCUUAACACAUGCAAGUCGAGGGGCAGCAUAAAAGUAGCAAUACUUUGGUGGCGACCGGCGCACGGGUGAGUAACGCGUAUGCAACCUACCUAUCAGAGGGGAAUAACCCGGCGAAAGUCGGACUAAUACCGCAUAAAACAGGGGCACCGCAUGGUGAUAUUUGUUAAAGAAAUUCGCUGAUAGAUGGGCAUGCGUUCCAUUAGGUAGUUGGUGAGGUAACGGCUCACCAAGCCGACGAUGGAUAGGGGAACUGAGAGGUUGGUCCCCCACACUGGUACUGAGACACGGACCAGACUCCUACGGGAGGCAGCAGUGAGGAAUAUUGGUCAAUGGGCGGGAGCCUGAACCAGCCAAGUCGCCGUGAAGGAAGAAGGAUCUAUGGUUCGUAAACUUCUUUUGCAGGGGAAUAAAGUGCAGGACGUGUCCUGUUUUGUAUGUACCCUGAGAAUAAGGAUCGGCUAACUCCGUGCCAGCCGCGGC
This 519-nucleotide ribosomal RNA is filed under the name uncultured bacterium. RNAcentral describes it as "bacterial SSU rRNA". It matches the Rfam family "Bacterial small subunit ribosomal RNA", at positions 8 to 518 of the family's 1533-position model. The record is from RNAcentral.